This is a long non-coding RNA of Mus musculus (house mouse), 28968 nucleotides long. RefSeq annotates it as predicted gene, 52296. Lineage: Eukaryota; Metazoa; Chordata; Mammalia; Rodentia; Muridae. The transcript has 2 exons. The record is from RefSeq and is a predicted model, not a curated record.
CUACAGUGACGUCAUCAUUCCCUUUCACAGACAGAGAAUCUCAUCUUAGAAGCAUCAAGCAGUCACCCGAGAUUGCAUAGAGAGGCGCUCUUUAGUAUGGUCUGGAUUCAAACCCAGAGCCCUCUGCUUCUUUUCCAUGUGCCAUUUUUUUUUUUUUAUUGCACUCACUAUCACAAUAACAGCCAAAUCCACAAUCCACUCGGCUCCCGGGGUCAGGCCGCUUCCUGUACAUGCAGGUCUCUGCGCCCUUUACCAGGCCCGGGGAUGAGGUCAUUCUAGCCAAGUCAGUUUUCUAUGUCUGUGGCUCACAAGCUGACAAAACAUCUGUGGGGACCAGAGCCGGAAUCAGGCUCUAUGGCCGUGUUGGCUCAAACUGCUUGGACACAACACAGUCUAAAAAGCCUCCUGCUUGGGGGCAAAGUUUUGAAGGAAGCCAUUGGCGGGGGGACCCACGCCCACAGUAGGAUGCCAGGGAUAAAUAAAUGUAUACAGAUGUGGCCAGGCAGGGUGGGAGCAGGGAGAUAAAGCAGAGUUGGCUCGGUGGGGACAGAUGAGCUAACUUCCUCCAUCAGCUCCUCCUGGUUCCCUUCUCCUUAGAAACUUCAAAGACAACAGAGCGCCAGAGUGACCUCAAAGGCUCCCAGACCUCUGUGUAUGAAGGAUGGAGUAGGCAGCAGGAAGGACUUCCACCAAGUUGUCCCUUUCAGGUUCACCGAGGCGUUACGGAAGAGGUGAAGCAGGAUAUAUGUAUUAUUCAGGGUGGACGCAGACGAAGAUGUCUUAGAGGACUCACACCUAGCCAGGCAGUGGUGGUGCGGGUCUUUAAUCCCAGUGCUCAGGCGGCAGAGGCAAGAGGAUCUCUGAGAUCUGAUCUACAGGAGUAUACAAAGAGACCUGGUCUCAUAAAACAUACAGACACACAGACACACAGACACACAGACACACACACACACACACACACACACACACACACACACACCCCUUAGACAUGGUUGCCUCCAGUAAACCAGCUACAGGACCUUGUUCCACUCCUGCAGUCAGAGCUCCUAAGGUGUAGUCUCCAGCAAGUUUCAAACACGCCAUACGCUGUGUUGAGUUACAACUGCCGUGCAGUACACCAGGUCUUCAGAAUGUAUUUAUCUUACAGCCACAGGUUUGUAACCUUUGGCCAAUCUUUCGUCCCCAACACCCUGAGCCCUGAAACCUACUCUUCUACUUCGUGUCCACAAGUUUGAUAUUCCUCUGUGCCACACAUGAGAGAAUAUGCAGGACUUACUUCCCAGUAAGUGGCAUACUUUUACCUAGCAGUGACCUCUGGGUUUGUCCCUAUUGUCAUAAAUGGCAGGAUGUCCUUACUGAUGCUGAAUAAUACUCCGUGCCCUAAACCUACCACACUGCCUUUAUCCGUCAACACUUGGGUGUUUCUACAGGGUCGUGCAGAUGCCUCUUGGAAGCAGUGGUUUUCAUCUCGUAUGUCUGCAUACCCAGAAGUGUGAUUGCUGGAUUCUGUGGCAAGCCUAGUUUAAGCUUCUGAAGGAAAUACCACUCUGCCUUCCAUCAUGGCUCUGCUGGGUCCAUCCCCAUCAACACUACUGAAAGGCUUCCAGAGCUCUGAAUCUUAACCAACACCUGCUUUUUGCUAACAGCAUCCCAACAGGUGUGAGGUGGAAAUCCACCACAAUUUUAAUUUGCAUUUUCCUGAUGAUCAGUGUGACUAAAAAAAAAAAUCUCUUCAGAUAUCUGUUAGUUAUUUCUUUAUUUUAUUUGGGAAAUGUCUUUUCCGGUUCUUUGCCCUUUUAUCUGUCUGUCUGUCUGUCUGUCUGUCUGUCUACUGACUCUAUCUAUCUAUCUAUCUAUCUAUCUAUCUAUCUAUCUAUCAUCUAUCCGAUUGAAUCCAUUUUGUUUCUGUAUGUGGUAGGCACAGCUAGAGCAUGAAGCCUCUGAAAUGGAGACUCUGGUUUGGUUUUGACAACAUGGGCAGUGAACCCCUGAUAGAAAGAUUUGGCGAGCACAGUCUUCUUCUAGGGGCCAUGUAGCUCUAAGAUUUUUCCCUUUUUAAUUUUCAUUUUAAAAGAUUUAUUUGUAUUUCUGUGCAUGAGUAUUUGGUUUGCAUGUAUGUUUGUGCACUACAUGCAUGCAGUGCCUGUGAAGGCCAGAAGAGGGCAGUGGAUCCCCUGGAACCGGAAUUAUAAACUGUUGUCAGCCUCUGUGUGGAUGCUAGGAAUCAAACCUAGGUCCCCUGGAAGAACGGCUGGUGUUCUCAACUGCCGAGCCAUGUCUCCAGCCCGUGGAUUUUCCCGUUUUAAAAUUAUUUUCUCUUGUUUUAGUCCUUGUUGGUGGGCUUUAUAGAUUUCUUGCAUCAUUUUAUGAUAAUUCCUUAUUGCAUAUACAGUGGGCAAAUAUUUUCUCCCAUCCUGAGUUGCCCUUCAUCUGGUUGGUUGUUUCUUUUCUGCGUAGAGCAUUUGGUUUGAUGUGGUAUGGUUUGUAGCUUUUGGUAUCACAACCAAAAACUCCUGGAGGAGGCGCCUCUCGUCAGGACAGAAGAAAGCCCUGCACAGUCUCACCUCCACAAUCUCUCUAGCAUCCCUCAGAGCACAAGACAGACAUUCAAGUAUGCAGGCGUUUGAGCAGACACCAAGUGCUCUCGGGGAGCUCCACUCAAUACUUUCCAGAUAGAAGACCCUCUGCAGGCCCACAGGGAGGUUGGUUGCUGGGGCAGCAGAGCCCUGUGCAGUUUCUCGGUCAUGGCCGCCUUCCCAGAAAUCCGGCACAUGCUACAUUAGCAUUGAGCCACCUCCUGAACCUGCCCUUGUGAGACCACAGCCUGUCAGCAGCACUGGCCAAGCCUGGGCACAAAACCAAAAUGUGCACAUGGCAUCUGCAUCUGCUGGGCUGUGCUGGCAAGGUCUCCCGGCCAAUCAGUGGGGUCUGGCUAGGGAUCCAGGGAACGCUGGAGAGCGGCUGUGCCCCAGCAGGGCUUGCUGGCUUUACCCAGGCUCUCCUCCUUUGCUCAAGCAUCUUAGCCAGGAUCCGGUCUUUCAACGCUUCGUUGAAGAAAGAACCUGACAUUUGUCCUCAGGUGACUUGAGACCCAGUCUCACUUCCUACCACUGCAGGGGUGUUGUGUACAACUUUAAAGCCUAGAAGUGUCAGGUCUGUAUAUGCUGGAAGCCAACUCUAAACAACAGUGAGGAAAUGUUUCUUAGAAGCUGUAUGUAGCUCGGGCGUCGGCCCUCCGCCAGACUACGCUGUUCCAUCUGAGUCUCCAGCUCAAGGAAAACCGCCUGUCCUUGCUGCAUAACUAAGAGCCUGUCCAGCCUCCGGGUCUCACCUGCUCCUCAUCAGGAGCCGUCAGUGAUUCCCUACAGGCAUACAUGGAAACCAUCACAUCUGGCAUCCUUGAGACAGGCUUCCCAGCACCUUGAUUCUACCCCAAACCUCUCCCAGUUUCCUUGGAAUAAUUGAUAAACAAUGUCUCUUUGCUUGCAGCCCAUUUCAGAAAGAAUACAAUUGUUUCCAAUUGAUGUAUUUUUAAUCAGCUGUCAAUCAGAAAAUGCCACAGUUAUUCAUUCGCUUUCUGUCAGUGGAGACUCGGAGCAGAAGGGAACUGCAUCUUGGAAAGUAUGCUUUGCACGGCAUCUUCUCUGGCUGCUCAGCGUUACUGUCAAACAUCUGUGUCAGAGACAACUACGCCAGGCAGCAGUAGAACUGGGCAGGAAGAAACUGCAGCAUCUGAGGGCUCAGAAGUGCAUAACUGAAUCUCCAAGCUAAAGCACAAUUCCCAAACUGCAAUGAGCCAGAAGGGACUGGGAGUUGGAAAGGAUGAAGAAUACAAAGACCAGCAUGAGAAAGACUUGAAGAGACUUCCUGGGGGAGUGGCAGUGGGCAGAAGGAAGGGAGCACCUAAGUUGAUCCUAAUCAGUGUAGGAUGACCUGUUGGACCGAUAGGCAGGGGUGGACAUGACAAAGGAGAGUGUUGGGCACCUCCUUUGCCAGACUUCUUCAAGCUCCUCCCAUCCCUCAGCUGGCCGGGAAGCAUUAAUCACGCAGCAUUGAUAGCAGGAGUAGAGGCUAUCUAUGUAUGCAACCGCCUCCUGAAUCUUUUAUCUCUCUGAGCUCCUCCACACCACUCUGUGCCUAAUCCCUUUGCCUCGAUUCCAGAUGCUACAUUUCCCAGAUAGCUUCCACCUCUGACCUAGCCCAAGGGAAGAGGGUUGUGGUCCAGCAUCAUGGCUUGGGGUAGGAUGGUGGUAGCCUCGGAAGGGCUGCCGACGUAUUCAUAAUCACUUUCCAAGAAAAAACAACCUAUCCUCGAAUGGCUCUGAUACUCUGUGGUUUCUUGGAAAUUAGAUUACAGCGGCUUCUCCAAGCUUCAGCCCAUCGCAUCCUACAGUUGUGAUGUUCAUUAACGUGUCAGUUCCACUGUCACCGAGGCAGCCAAGCCCUUGGGCUGUUAACGCUGGGUAUAAUUGCACACUAUAAAAUGGGCCCACUGUGGAGUACAGGUCCAAAGACUUGGAUAAAUAUGUGUAGUCUUGUCAUAACUACCACAAUCAAGAUAGAAAAGAAAAUGUCACCUAAGAGAUUCCCCCAUCUUCCUUUGACCUCUGGCCCACCCCAUCCUGGCAGCCACUCACGUCUUCAUCACUGUCUUUUCGUAUACACGGAAUCUGCCAUAAGUGCUCCUUUCACCUCUCAAUGCUUUUAAGAUCCAUAUCAAGUUCUUAAAGAAGAUGGAAAGCAACAGAAUGUGAAGGAAAUGGUCAUUGAGUCUUCAGGCCACCAAAGGGACCUGGAGGAGGAAAAUGAGAACACACCAGUGUUUUCUGCAGCCUUUGCUGCUGCUACACUGUAAGAGCUGCCGCUACAGUGUAAGAGCUGUGUCUACACUGUAAAACAGGUUGGUAACUUAGCUACAAAAAGACACUGACUGAGCAGAGCAGCAUAGAGUAAUUAAAACAGCAUGGACGUCCUUCUGCUGAUGACCUUGGAUGAUCUGUUUUUCUGGGUUUAUGUUCCUCCCCUCUGUUAGAUGAGGGCCACACUCAGCUCCACACACAGUCUGGGUACCAUGGCUUCCUCCCCUCUGUUAGAUGAGGGCCACACUCAGCUCCACGCACAGUCUGGGUCUCACACACCGUCUGGGUACCAUGGUUCUACCCAUUGACUUUUAUUGGCUGUCAGGAAAGACACACUCCUUUAUCAUUCUGUGUUCCCUAGAGAUUCAUAGUUGGAUGUACGGGUGGGGCUGGUGACAGUCACUUCUGUUUCCACCUGGGAUGGUGUCACCUGAGGGUAUAACCAGCCCUGUCUCAGGAGUCUAGACAAAGACAGCAGCAUCGUGCCCUCUGAGCAUGUUGAUCCUACGCUGCUGCCAUCUGUCCCUGAACCAUUACAUGACCAAUAAAGUCCCUUAACUUGCUUCAUAAAAAAACAAUACAUGAGCAACCAAGUCAGAGGUAUGGUAUGAGGUGCUGGAAGAGUCAUGAAAUAACAACUGUAUUGGAGCCAUGUAAGUGACAGACGGGCAGGACGGUCAACAUUCACCUCUUUAAGUCUCUAGAAACAUGAUUUGCAGCCCCGUUCAAGACUCAUCUAGAACUUGUGGGCUCCCCCCUCCUCCCAAACAGUUGGGAAAACAGGUGUGCACCCCCACCCCCAACCUCCCUACCUGCAUUCUUCUCCCAUGUCAGAGAUGAGGCCCAGGGCUUUGCAAAUGACAAGCCGGCAAGAGAUGUUAUAUACUUAAUACAUAUAACUCUUAAGCUAAGGGCACGCACACAUGACAUAUAGUCCCCGUGUACUAACCAAACGUCUAAGAUUCAUUGCCAACAGUUUAGGCUUUCUUAAAACCUCACCCCAACUUCCCAACAUUCACAUAAUGUUAACAAGAAGUAUAAAUCAGAACCAUUACUUAUAAAAGGAUUAAAAGAUCAUCUCCCUUAUCCAGGCAAUCACACAUAAGGGGGGGGGAGUCCUUGAAGGCAUGCCUCUAAGGAAAAUGAGGAGGAAGGGGGGCAUUUAGGGAAGGCCAAGGCACACAUAAAGGAGCCUCAAAGCUUACACGUGGAACAGCAAAUAAGCAAUUUUGGCCAAGGUCUGCUUUAUCUGUGAGUUUGGAGACACUGAAUUAGAAAGGCUGAGCCAACUCCAUAUGGGACAACCUUGGAGAUUUGAGUAAGAAAAUCCCACCAUUAAAUCUGUAUUAAUUAAUGUUUUUUAACUCACACAAUUAGUACUAUAAACCUUGUGAACAGUUGUUGAAUGAAGCUGGAGGUAGGGGAGAUGGGUGGUCCUAAGGCCAGGUAAGAGGAACUUCUUAAAAUACUAAGAAAAGGGUUCUUAAAAAAGACCGUGAACAGGCAACACUGAGGCUUCUGGGAACCAACCAAUAGUCAUCAAGGGACAGAGCAAAGGGCCAAGGGAUGCUGCAGAGUCCAAGUAGUAGAGGCUGGGCAAACAAGUGCAACUGGAGACAGGAGGGGAAACUCGAGUGAGCAGUGGGCUAAAAGCUCGUCCUUUGCUUUGUUGAAUCUGAGGUGUUGGAUGAUGUCCACAAAGCAUUUGGAAACAUGCACAGAAUCCCAGAUGGCGAGACUGUUGGUGCCCAGAACAAAGGUAGGCUGCUCUGACAGUCAGAAAGGUAGUCAGAAAAGAAGCAAGGAGAGUUCUCGAGCAGGCUGGGGGAGGCCCCAGUGGUGGCAGGUCCCAGGAGACAUCUCCAUAGCAGAGGGAAGGGGACAGCUGUCCAGGAAAGUCACAGCAGAGCCUAGAGUCCUCUGCAAGGCCACUAGCAGGAGAAUCCCAGACUCCUGGAUAAAUCUACCCCACUCUAGGUCUCCUGUCAUGUGGAUGAGAUCGUUGCUUACCGCCCUGUCUCCCCCAGGCUGCCCACGUGGGACUUGGACAGGUGAUGUAUGUGUGAGCGCUGACGAGAAAGAAGCACAGAGCGUUCUGGGCCUGGCAGCAGUCACAGGCCAGGUGGGGAGGGCAGGCUGGUUCCACGAGGAGUGUUCCGAGCUCCUGAUUUAUCCAAGAGAUGGAAGAAAAGCUCCAGCAAGCAGGCAGCCUGUACACCAGCCAAGACGUGGGCCACGGGUAAUUCAUUCUCACUCACUGGCUGGCUCACCCACCUCCCCGGCAGGAUUUCAUGUGGAAGACAGCUGUGUAGGAGGAACGUUUGGUCUUAAGUUGGCAGCACUGGCAGAACCAUGCUUCCUCAGGGAACGGUCCAGGCCCCCACAGAGUACUGGUAGAGACUCUCACGACCAGGUCUCUGAGAGCAGACAGAAGCAUUAAAUGAAGGACGACUUCCUUCACCGAGAAGGUGGCAGUUGGCUUUCUGAAUACCCACACUCCUCUUUGUUGAGCUCCUGUCCCACCCUAGUUGCUUCCGUUUUCCAAGAUCUAGCUGUGGGUCUUGCCUCGCCAGCGUGGCACACUUCUGUCACCCACUCUUCCUCUCUAGCUCCACAGGAUCUCGGCCGCACCAGAGGCUGCAGGUUCUGGUCUCUCCACUGCCUAAUGCUCCCCCUGGCCCAUCUUUCCCUCCUCUUGGUGGAGGACAAAGUCCAGGACAGUGAGAAGAAAGGGGUUUGGCCUUCUGCGUUCUCCAGGAGCUUGGCAGUGUGGUAGGAAUGAGGGUGCCGCCUAGCCUGCCCCCUUAAGCAACCACAGGACCUGACAGAAAAUGGGAGGAGCUUAAGCAAUCACACAACACGAUAGAAAAUGGGAGGAACUUAGAAUCCUUGCAGUGCAGACCAACAAAGUGAGAGUAAUGGGCAGGCCUCAGAGCAGGAGGAUUCAGGAAAACCUCCAGGAGGAGACAUCUCUGUGUUUGCCUUGUCCCACACUGGUUUCUUCUAGUUUCCCCUAACACAGGGGGAAAGCGCUUUUGGUAGUGUGAUCCAGUCACAGAAAAAAAACGGGUCCUGACAAACACAGAUCUGCUUCCCUUUUGUCACACCGCAGAGCUCUCUGACCUUAGAAAAGUGAACUGGUCUCUACCAGCCUCAGUUUCCCAUUCAUAACAUGAAAAUAGAAACACGUAUGUAAAUUCUCCCUCUCCCCUUCCGUCUCCCUGUCUCUGCUUACUGUGACCUGAGCGCCAGCCACCACUGCAGACUCAGAGUCCCCUCAGAGCGUGAAGGUGGGGCGCACAGGGAUGAAAUGGUUCAUCCACGGUGGUCAGAGCUAACACACGGGGAGCCAAGAAUCCCUCUUGUGUCACCAAGAAUCAACCCCUGUCACCUCACGCACCUUCAGCCCCUCCCAAUGCUCUUGACCAAACUAAACAGCUCCGAAGUACUUGUUCCCAUGGGAGUGGCACUCCCUGAGGACUCACAGAGCCAGAGGAGGGUCCACAGCAAGAAGAAAAAUACUCAACUCGAAGUUACAGAACUCUCUACAGGGAGGUAGAGAAACACCAACUCUGCCACAGAGACAGUGGCCCACAGUGUCUUAACUGCUUCAUCCCCAGGUUCCAGGGACUGUCCAUGCCAUGGGUGUAGAGAGCUGUACAAGGGGUGUACUGGCUAGUUUUGUGUCAACUUGACACAGCUGGAGUUAUCACAGAGAAAGGAGCUUCAGUUGAGGAAAUGCCUCCAUGAGAUCCAACUGUAAGGCAUUUUCUCAAUUAGUGAUCAAGGGGGAAAGGCCCCUUGUGGGUGGGACCAUCCCUGGGCUGGUAGUCUUGGGUUCUAUAAGAGAGCAGGCUGAGCAAGCCAGGUGAGGCAAGCCAGUAAAGAACAUCCCUCCAUGGCCUCUGCAUCAGCUCCUGCUCCCUGACCUGCUUGAGUUCCAGUCCUGACUUUCUUUGGUGAUGAACAGCAGCAUGGAAGUGUAAGCCGAAUAAACCCUUUCCUCCCCAACUUGCCUCUUGGUCAUGAUGUUUGUGCAGGAAUAGAAACCCUGACUAAGACAAGGGGUUUCUUGGGUACUGUUCCAGGAUUGGCCCCUGUGGCAGGAGGGAAGGAAGCAAGGGCAGUCAGAGAGAGACAUCAGUAAUUGGUCUCAGCCAAGCCAAAAAGAAGCCCUGUGGCAAAGCUGGCUUUACAGAAUUGCCUCAGAUGGUGUGAAUGGGAUCAAUGUUUACCACCCCCCCAUCCCCACCUCUGCAGUCAUCUUCCUGUGUUGGCUGCUCCAGGGUGGGACAAAGCCCGGGGCUCUUUUCCUGUAGUCUAGCCCUCCUGGGAAGGAGGAGCCAGUGCUAUGCUAUCAGCAGGACCUACCUGCAGCCACUGGAGGAUGAGUGCUUCAGGCCCACAGGAGGAGGUGGGCUGUUUAUUGAGACUCUUAAUACACUGGUUUCAGGGUGAUCUUGACACGUGCUGGUGUGGGUAUAAGGGCUUGCUGCUUCACCAAGGCAGCAGGGCACCCAGCCCUGAGCACCUGUCUCCCCUUAGGCUCAUCUGGAGCGCAAUCUGUACCACAAAGCCAUCUCUUCUCUUUUGUCACUCCCUGCCUGCCAUCACUCAAGCCACUUGAUGUGGAGGAACACCCUGCCUUUCUAGACUGCAGAUUCUACGAAAAUGAAGCUUUAACUAGAGAUGUGAAAUUUCAGAGCCAAAUGCUUUCCAUUGGCUGCACACUUCCUAGACAUCCAAGUUGAACAGCCUGAAGGAUACACUUUCUAACCACUCCAUAGCCACUCAGCCUCAGCCGUCUGUCCCACACUGAGCCGCCUAAGCAGGAUACACAGAAACCGUGGAGGAAGUAUGCCCAAGAAACAGAGGCCCCAUGAAACCUCUGCAUCCCAAAUGCCACAUGGCGGACUCUCUGGGGAAAUCACUCUUCCAAGAAGGAAGAGUCAGCAGCUCCUGGUGGCCUUGUGACUCAGAGCAGCAAAAAGAGACCCAAGAUGUCCAGGCAGAGGCCAUUCCUCCCAGUAACUUUGGUAGAGAGAAUGUCUUCUCUGAGACAUGUAGUUGCUGGGUUGAAGAACAUUUCACGUUGGCUUCUUAGCCAGCUCUGUCACCUCCAUCUAUUCAUUGUUCAUAUUCAUUAAAAUAUACACCAUUCAGACAGACUUGAGACCUUUGUUAAAGAGAUCAAUAAAUGUCAGAAUCCUAAGUAACGUGAAAUGGCGCUGUAUCCCCCUGGCUGCAAGACGGGAAAUCCAAAGCAUGAAGUGGUGCAGAAGUUGCUACCAAUACACAAAGAGCCCCAACAUCCAAAUACCUUCCAUCCGAUUGGCUAGAUAGAUUUACAAAGGCAUUUGGGGCCCACUGACAGGAAGCUCAUGUCUUUGGGAUACACCUGCCCAGCAUUCCCAUUCGAGGCCCGUCGUCUGCACUGGGAUGACUGGAAAUCCUGUAUCCUCUCCUCUCCAUCAAAAACAGUCUGUCUCAAAUAAAGCUAACCAACAUCAGGUUCAUGUCCCGUGCUCUUCAAAUAAGUGGUAAGAUCUGUGGCUCUUCCCUGAGACAUCUGUCAUUAAGUCUCACCGUAACAAGAUCUGGAUUCCAGGAAAGGCUUCUUAAGGGUGAAAUUCCAAAGACUGUGACAGACUGCUGGAAAGAGCAUCCAUGUUGAGCAGAGGGUCAGAGGCAAUGCCUCAUUUGCAUAAUAGACUGAACCCUGCACAUCAUUUGCAUAAUAGGCCACACACUUACUAUUAGUUAAAAGAAAAAUUAUAUAGGAGUUCAAAGACCCCUGGUUGUCAGGUCUCCUGCACGGUAAUGCUAUAUUCGCGACCACUUAAGUCUCUAUCCCUCUGUCAUCCUUAAAAUGUGUGAGAACCAAAGAACCGUGACUUUCUGUUUCCAGAAGAGUUAGAGUAAACAGAAUCUUUCCAGACCAACCAAUGUUUGCUACUCAUCUUACUCCACCUCCUCAUGCCUUUGGGCAUCACUCCCAGGCCCCACAUUUGUACACCAAGCCUGCACAGAUCAUGAUCUAAAAGCAUGAUGGGAAAGCCACGGGGAACAGGCAGUUUUCUUGUUGAGUUGAAUCCUCUUGGUCCAAGGAGUAAACUGCAAGAGGUAGACAGUCUCUUUACCACACGAUUGCCGUCCUUACACAAUGGGAACGCAACAUGUCAAACAGGCAAAACUGUCACGCGUCCUUCACUAAGCCGCACCUUGGUCUCUGCUAAUAGCAUCUCACCUGCAUUGCAUUAGACUAUACAGAAACACCACUCCAAACACUGGAGUACAUUUCUUUGUCCCUUAAUAAUAAUAACAGUGUCAGGGAAACUCUUCAGUCAUAGUUUCCUUAUGUCCAGGUACAAUAUCAGAAAGGGAAAUGCAGCCCGACCUGAGAGCAUGAGGGAAAGCUGUGUGUUUAGUACAGAGGGAGAAUCCCACACUCACCGUCUCACAUCUAUACAUAACUGGCAAUGCACACGAUCAAAAUCGGAUGCACGAUGCAAGCAGAGGAUUGCUCAUAUAGCCUGAUAGAUCUAUACUGACUCAAGUAGAGACUCACCCAACCACUCUAUUCCCUUUAUAAUCCAUAAAAAGAGACCCCAGGCAGAAAUCUGGGGCCCUUAGUGUGUUCACUCAUGAGGGCUGCUGUCAUUCCUGACCGGGUCUUCCUUUCUGCUGCUUACUACUGCUUUGCUUAAAAGACAGUUUCUUCACACUUCGUAAUCUCUGUGGGCUUUUUCUCCCAUUCUUUAUUUUAUGUAUAUGAGUAGACUGCUGCUAUCUUUAGGCACACCAGAAGAGGGCAUCGGAUUCCAUUACAGAUGGUUGUGAGAUGGUUGUAUGGUUGCUGGGAAUUAAACUCAGGACCUCUGGAAGAGCAGUCAGUGUUCUUAACCACUGAGCCAUCUCUCCAGUUUUUCUCUCAUUCUUGAAUAAGAUGUCAAGAAACUGGAAAUACCUGACCAGACUUUGGUCAGCGGAGACAUCUCUCGUCCUUCCACACACGCCCCUAUUUAUUUUAUCUCAGUCUUUUCCCGUGUAUCACCACCACCUGCUCCUUUAAAACCUAUGAAAUUUGGUUUGCAGACUUUAUGUUUCAUGAAUGCAAAAGUUUAUCUCUAAUGUACAGGCUUGGGGAGAUGGCUCCAUGGGUAAAACACUUGCUGUGCAAGCUGAAGAGCUUGGGUUCAAAUCCCCCAGCACCCAUGUGAAACACAUCCUGGCAGCAUGUGUCUGUAAGCCCAGCACUGAGAAGGGAGAAAGGGAUGAUUCUGGGGGCAUACCCACUGGCCAGACUAGCUACAACAGUGAGAUCAUGUCUCAGACAGACAAACUCAGGGACUGAUGAAUAUAUACAUACAUACGUACGUACAUACAUACAUACAUACAUACAUACAUCAUACAUACAUACAUCAUACAUACAUACAUACAUCAUACAUACAUAUAUACAUACAUACAUCAUACAUACAUACAUACAUACAUCAUACAUACAUACAUACAUACAUACAUACAUACAUACAUACAUGGACGGACAGACAGACAGGAUAAAUGACAAAUGAAGACAAAUCGAUAUCAUCUCUGGCCUCUACACACGACUAAAUGGGCACUUGAGCACACAAGUCUAUGAACACACAAGGACACACACACAGAGACACAAUUACAAUUAACAGUUCUCUUUCCCCCAUAAUUUGUUGAACAGACACACAAUGUUUUCGUUGUUGUUACUACUUUCAUGAAAACCUUCUUGGCAGGAACUUACCAAGAGAAAACCAAAGUGGUAGGCCUUGACAGCUAAAACCAUUCCUGUUCUCAAGCCCCGGGCAGCUCCUCUGGCCUGGGACUCUCGGUUUCAUGACUGCUCUCAUGUGCACUUCCCAUUUGCCCUUCUCUGUCCUAACUCUGGGUUAACCAGUAUUGCUGAACAAUAAGAUUAUGACUCAAUACCGUUUUUAAAAAUAUUAAAAAUUCAUCUGUGACCAACAGAUUCGCUCCAUGUUUAUCUCUGCUUUUCCUAAGACCCCAGAUGAGUCUAGGACUUGGACUUUGCAUGGAUUUCACACCCUUGCCAAACCAAGUCCUUGGGUGAGGUGCAGAGAACCCUCUCCUGUUGUAGCCACAGCAAUGCCCAGCCCCGCCCAGGUCUGUACUGAGUCGGCAUGCAGUCCAGUCAAGGAGAUGAUGGAGGAUUUAGCAUUUCCUAUGGAGACUUGAAAACUUAGCUCCUGUGAACGUUAAAGCCUGCAGCAAAGCUAGGGACCAGAGGCCCAGGCAUCCCCUAGGACGCAGGUGACCUCGGUGCUACGUGAGACCGUCAAUGAACACAGCAUCAUGAGACCUGGGUAGGAUCCUUCAAGAUGCUACAGCAGAAAGGGAAGACUGAAAACAGAAAGAAAACAUCUGGAAGGGAGACACACAUGUCAGAAAGGCCAGCUUGGACCCUUGGCAUGGCGGCCCACCUGCAGCAGCUCUCCUGUCGGGUAGGAGUCCUCUCUUCAGUAGCCGAGCUCUCUAAGAGGUCCUGAGCGGAGGACGAGUUUUGUACCCUUUCUUCUAUCUCUUUUCUCUUCACUCUGUUGCUCGGUCUCUCACAAGCCAGUCCACAGAGGAGCCAAUCCACUGUCUGACUCUGAAUUAACCAGCCAUUGGCUGAGUGAUGUGGCAGCAGCUCAGAUGAGGAUCCUGAACCACAGGGCAAGGCUGCCCCGUGCUUUCUGUGAACCCCACAGUCACCUUGGCAGCCACAGUUAGAAUCCUACACUUGCAAGGAUCUGAUGAAGAAGGGAUAGAGAAAAGAGAUCCAGGCAGAAGCGGAGGAAGGAACGGGAAGGACACAGCUGCUUAGGAGCUCUGUCCUGCAGCCGCUGCACCUGAGUCCAAACCCUCACAGUUUCCUGUGGAUAUCUAAACACUCCUCAGCCUCAUCGACCGAAAGGAAGAUCCGAUGGUCUCCUCACAUGCUCGUUAAGAAGACUAAAUAUUGUGACACAGGAGGCACAUUACGCACAAAGCCUCGAGAAGAGGUAGCUGAGAAAGCCGAUUCAGGCCUUGUUCUCGGUUCCUUGUUUGUAAAUGCGACAUUCAUAAUGAGGGUCUCCACCCGUCUGGAACCUUCUGGAAGCCUGUGAGUGAGAAUCGAAGAGUAGAGCGUGGCAUGGGCAUUACAAGUGCAAUGUAAAAUAUUAUCCUGCAGAACAUUCGCCAUAGCGAAAGGAAGCGCCAGGCGCCGGGGCUCUGGUGAAGUGUGUGAGGUUUUGGUGUGGGAGUGCUGGGGCUGCUGCUGGGGAAGGGCGUGGUCAGCCACAGAAGCCACUGCCCACAAUGAUUUGCUUUGUUUUGCUGCUCCAGCCUCUGGGGAAGUUUCUGGUCAUCUAGGUAUUGAGUAUACAAUUGGGGCUUAUUUAAAACAAAUAAACAAACAAAAACUUCCAACACAUCUUAACUUUGAUCUUUGUUCUUAAAGUUAAAACUGAUAGUACCUUUAAUCUGUUUAGAAUAGUUUUUUAUAGAUUUUUCCGAAACAGCAUUAAAUCAAUUUCUCUCCAAAUGCAUCUACACAGAGAGCAAGGCAUGAUACCUAGACGACACACCGCUUUCUCCAGCCAAGUCUAAAGCAGUGGGUCCUGCAGCUUCUUUCCUUCCUUCCUGCUCACCCAGACUUCCGGUUCCCUAUGGAAAUGUAUGCCCCAAAGUGCAGCCAGGAAGCAGAAACCAAAGCAAACCCAAGAAACCAGGGUCAACAGGGCUUGGACAGCCAACGCGCCUGGAUGCGAUGACAGACGUUAUAGGAAGCUUGGUCAAAUUCUCUAACUACACUUCCUAGAAGGCCCUCUGGCCCCGCUGUCCCAUUGUCUGGCUGUACGGUCCUCUUCCCUUUCCAGGCAGAGUUCAAGCCACCAUCCUCCAAGCAACUUCUACUGAUGCUCUAGCCUCAGACUGAGGUGAGGAACUCCCUGCCGCGGGCCCUGGCUGGGGCAAGCAAAACAUCCUGUCAUGGCUCGUCCCCUACCCUCAGUCCACAGCUCAUUCCCUUGAGACUUCCAAGGUGCCUGAACACAUCUCUCAAAUCACCUUGCACUCGGCUCAGGAUAAGUAAGUAGCUAUAGCCUAAACAGAUACACAGCCAUUCUUGUAUUCACGCUGGUUGUCUUCUCAGAAGAUGCCAUGCGCCUAACCCAGUCAUAGGCCCAGUCGUGUAAGCCAUCUUCACUCGGGCAGACGUGGGACUCUAUGGGAACACUCAUCCAGGCAUAUAACUUUACUUAUAAUUAUGAGAAUACCCAGGCCAAAUCUGUAACGAACUCGAACCUGACUCUUUCUUAAUGGGCAUUCUUAGUCCACUGCCCAAAAGAAAAUGGAGGUACAGAACGGUUACGUGAUUUGCAUAAAGUCACCUAGUUAGCAAGCAACGAAGUCGGAUCUAGAAUCAGUUCCCUUUGUAUCCCCCAUGACUAGCCCAGAGAGCUUUCUAUAAAACCUAGACAAAUAGGGCACCCAGGUUAUAUCUGACUCCCCCAAAUCAGGAAUAGAUGUAUUAGAGAAAUGCAUCACAAAUUUAAACUGUAGAGAUGGGAUUCCAGCACUGCUCAGCAUCUGAAGCCACACGGUGGCAGGCAACAGAAGAUUCCAGAAUGCUUAAGCGUCUGGAAAACAAGAACCCUAAGUCGGGGCCCCUAAAGGAAUGGGCCGUGUCAUCACAACAUGAAAAAAUUCAAAGUACAUGUGCUGGAAUGUUAAACUGAAAACCAGUGAGCUGCCCUGAGAAGCAGAAGUCACAGAAGUGGGCAGAGCGAGCAGUGACUGAUGCCCACUGACAGGGCAAACUGGUUAGGAAAGUGGACAGUACUCCAGUGGGUAGCUCCAAGCACUUGCCCAAGGACCCGAAAGCCCUAAAACACAUCUGGGCUGAAAAUUAACACUUCAGCCUUAGACCCUAGAAGGUUCCUUUGGCUCGUUACAGGCACCUCUAAUUACUGCCCUGGAAAUACGCAAGGAGGACUAGACUCUGGCCCACUCCCCCAUUGCAUUUUUUAACAGGGAGGAUCUUCUACUGAGGAUCUCCAGAGCCAGAGAAACCACACAUGGAAGCCAUGUGGACUGAGAGCUCAGAGAGGGGAGACACUGCCUUGCAAACAUCUCCCACCAUCAGGAAAGAGACUAACUGCUUUCCACUGAGCACCACAAUGCAUACUGGGUCUUGAAGGAGACAAUCCUGAUGUGUCUUUGUUACAUACAUAAGGCAGGAUCAGAACUCUAAUUGGAAGUGGCCAAAUCUGUCCCCAGGGUCAGGAUGGUCAAACUCUAAGACUACUACCAGAUGGACCGUCUGCUUUCCUCUUCUCCCCCCAUCGCAAGGGAGAUUCACCAAGCCCCAGCUUCCCACCCAUGCUCAGCAUCCUCUUUCUGCCUUUGUUAAGAGUUAAGCAUCCUGUGUGAGUGGAGGGAUCCCUGAAAAAUUUCAAAGAUCUAUGAGGUUAAAACCAUUAUCCUAAGAGUUACAAUAGGCUUCUUUUUGUCUUUUUCACUUUCUGGAGACUCCAUGGGCUCCAAGGUAGAUGAUGGAUCAGAACAGUCUAAAUGCAGAAGGCAACUUAUACAUCUAUCCUCCUAUACAUCUGCCCUCCUAUUAAGUCAGAUGCUAGAGGGGUUUUCAAAAUACAAAACAGUGCAACGCUUCUAUAAACUUUUCUUGAAAAACAUAUAUAUGUUUCCUGAAAACACCGUUUACGUGAACAUCAAUGGGAUUAAUUUUAAUUAAUUUAAAAAUGUAUCCAUUUUCAUUUUGUGUGUAAAUAUUGGCAGCUAUCACCAACAAAAAAUAGACUCUCUGAAGCCUUCAACUCUGGAGCCUUCAAUAAUUUUGAAAUGUUGACAUUUAAAUAAUUUAAACUUCGGUCAUAAGACCUGGGAAUUUGAGAACCAUCAAUUCUUAAGGAUGAAAGACACUCACGUGCUGUCUGUCUCUUGAGAAGCUAAAUGCAAACCACCCACUGCUUUGUGUCUACCAUCGAGGGUCUGGUCCAAGUUCACUGCGAUUUCCUGAUGGCCUAGCUCUAACCUCGGAACAUUCUACCUUCUGAACCUGCUGACAGCCAUUUUUCUACCCCAGUUAGCAUGUCGUCGCACAGUGCCUGCGGUGUCUGUGACAUUCUCCACAUUAUCAGCUGGGUUACAUAACCUCUGAAGUUAUUUAACUUUUCCCUGAGGGUGUGUCUCGCUUCCCCAGGACAGUUCUGGACUUCGAAAAUGGAUCUGACUCUGAACAGCGGGCUGACCUUGGGCAAGUUACAGAGCCUCAGUUUCCUUGUGUCUAUAAAGGCAGGUCAGGUCAGGCCAGGCCAGGCCAGGCCAGGGCAGGGCAAGGCAGGCCAACUUCCCGAGAAACCUGUUCUUCCAAGACCACUCAGCUCAUGAUUUUUCUGGAAACUAAGUGUGGUGACAAUCUUGAGCAGUAAAUUUGGGGCUCCUGGCAUAAAGAUGACCAAUUUUCCUCCCAAUGGCACAGCCACUCGCGCCAGAAAUGACUAUAAUUCACCCCAGCAAUGAUGAGGGGCAUGAAUGAAUGAUGUGUGGAUCAGUAAAUUGUCUCGACAAAUGGAACACUGCGCCCCUAUGGGGACAGUUAGAGAUACAUGGGCAACUUGACUCCUGGCAUUGAAUGAACAGCAAACACUAGUAUUUAUGAACUAAAGAUGUAUGUCAAUGUUAGGGCACUUGCCUGGCAUUCACAAAACCUCAGUUCAAUCCUAGGUCUGCCAUGGGGGGGGGUGCUUAAAAGAAAGCAAGAAGAAAGACUUUAUUGAGACUCAGUGUGUAAGGACACAACUAAGAGACCAUGCAACCACAUACCUCAGAUGUUUUGUCAUCUUUAUGAUCUCAGUAUCUGGGUCCUUUUUCUUUUCUUAUCCAUAGAAAAGGGGAAAAAAAGCUUUCCAAUGCUGCUCCCCAAACCAUUAACAAGAGCAGUACCAGGUUCCCAAACCGCCAUGUGGCUCUUACACGGCAACAGGCUGAGACAACAAUGGCCUACUGCAUUUGACACAGCUCCCAAAGGGAUCAGAAAUGGCCACUUCCAGACUUCGGGACGUAUUCUUUUUCCCAGAUCGUCUUGAUACAUUUCUUUACACUCUCCAUCCUGUCUUUGUCUGUCUUUCUGUGAAGGUUGGAAGGAGGUAAAGGAUGCAGUUUCUGUGUGGACUCUAUGAUCCUGGGGAAAAGACCUAAGCUAACAAGCCCCAUGCGAGUUCACUAGAGGCAAUCUGGGCAUUUGAACUGUCUUUGGGGGAGAGGGGGAUCGCGGUUUUGUUUAAUCUAGUUUGUAAAAGGAUGGAGAAAAAUUUUGCAAGCUUGGUCUGUAUACCAUGUGCAUUUAACAUCUGCAGCCUGCAGCAUACAUGUGGCUCAAAAGAACCCUGAGCUAUUCCUUAGAACCCGACCCUACCUUUCAAGUGUGGCUUAUCACUUCCCCAUCUGUGACUGGGUAGAAGUGUGGCUCACCACUGCCUCCAUGAAAAUGAAUAAGCCCAAACCAGCCCCUUUCACAGUCCUUGAGACACCUUGGGGAUAUCUGCUAAAACGAAAUACCCAUUCAGACCUCUCCACUGAUAUCCUAUUAAACUUUAGAAUAAGACCUAUAGUUUGCCUUCUGGGAAUAAAACUGUAAAGUGAGCAUAAUGAAUUAGUGGCCAGAUAAUCGAAAUCAGCCACUUAUACUAGAUUUCAAUCAGAUUAAACACUUUAGUAUAAUAACAGUGAAGCUUGAGGCUAGGAUGGGGUUGGGGAGGUGAGGGCAAGACAAUCGAGGCAAGAAAGAAGAAAUUCCCAUGCAACCCAAUGACACUGUUCUAACUCUACCAGCAGGCCAGUGUAUCACAUGAUGAGGAUUCCCGAGGCUUGCUCUGCCUGUUGCUUGUUAAAUGGUUUCAAGAGGCGUUCCACAAGUUUUAGUAACACACACUAAAUACCAAUUCCGUAGAAGCCUUGUAAGUCACAUUAGCAUAUUAAAGGUCCUACUUAGUAAGUUUCAAAAUAAAGAAAUUGGUUUGACUUUAAACUUAAUGUUUGUAAACUCACUGGAGCCACCACAAAUGGUCCCUGGGACUUAACGUUUCUCAGAACUCUAUGAAAUCACUGAACUUAUCUUCCUAAGUCUGAUUCUGGCAUUAGAAUUAGGCUUUCUGUACAGCCUGCUUCCGAGGAUUAGUGAACGGAUUCUACAAUUCAGAUGUCCUAAUUUGAACUGAUAUGCUAACUUCAUAAAAUGACAGGCAAGCAUGUGGUGGCCAUUACCUCGUCCCUCUCAAAUGACUGGAGCCUCUCUCAUAUGCUAACCAACUGGACAGAGAAGUUUCAUCAGGGCUAGAAUUGAUUACUCAGUAAUCUAUAGAUGCUACUGUUCCAGCUAGGGGAGAGAUCUCCUGACAUCUCCUGGGUAGAGAACCAUGGAUGCUACUCAACAUGCGUCUGAGCACGGCACAGCCCUACAACAGUCAACCUGCCCAAAUAUCAGCUUUGCCGAGUCUGUCUGUAAACUUGGAAAACACAUCACGUCAGUCUACAAGCUUGACAGUCAAUCUUUGAAGACAGACUAAGACAAUGAAUGUUGCCUUCAGGUGAUUCUGAAAAAAACAGUCAUUGGUUUCCUCGGCUAGGGUAGAGGAGGUACACCUCUAUCUCUGCCUUUCUUGAAAUCCAAGGUAGGUCCCUGGGUCUGGGGCGUAAAUGCAUCCUCGGAGAAUGGACGGGGCCUGGUAUUCUGGACUGGGUCCCCUCUGUCCAGCCUCUCCCCACAGUUAGCUACUACAUAAUGUCAUUCCUGAUGUUUGGUUCUCCUUUGUUUAACUGAUAGAUGAUGAGUUUGAGGAAGUGGCCAGGCCAGUGGGAAGUGGCAACCUCGGCUGCCUCCUUGACAUGGGAGUCCCCAAGCACAGCAGAAGCUGGGGUGUGGUCACCUCACAAGCCGUCUUCCCUAACUUCGGCGUCACUGUCCCCAUCUAAGAUACAAGCCUCCCUCAGGAUUUCCUUUUAAAGACAAGGAAGCCCGACAUAAGGGAUCCACGAUGUACCAUGGGCUUCAUGGACAUACGCUGAGUCUGGAAAUAUAUUCCAAGAUGAACUGAAUGGCAGCUUUCCUGAUGCCAACAAAACGCCCUGAAAUGCCAGUGCAUCUGUGCUCAGGCACAUUUGCCCAGUUGUAGGCAAGCAUGGGACAGAGAUGAACAACUGUCCUGUGAUUGGGAGGGAGAGGAUAAAACAUUGUUGUCUGAGAGUCACUCCCUCACUCCCAGGGCCAGCAAUCCCUGCCACUCAGUGUAAGACAGACCACUUACAGACCUGCACUCUGUGGGAAGAACCCAUGAGGGGCAGUAUUCUCCUCCUCCUUCCCAGCAGUCACGUGACGCUGGGGUGUGCCAGCCUGUCCCGAGACAAACACAGUCUCUCUGGGCAGGUCCAUUCCAGCCAGGCUGUCCCGAUGGCACCCGCACUGACCUUUGAAAGGGAGAGACAGUUCUUGCCAAGGAUUCUAGUAUUGCUGGCUGCCUUUCAACAGAAGGUAAAAGACAAGCAUGGAAAGUUGAGCAAGAAUUGAAGGAUUUCAUAGUCACUUCAGACAUUCAAAACUGCCACAGUGGCUUAAGACAGAGGUUCAGCUCAGGCCCAGUACUAGGAACACAAAAUAAAAAACCCCAGACCUCUGGAUACAGCUGGGAGGGAAUGCCCAGGGUGCUGGGGAUGAGAUUCGCCGUAGGAGUGCGGAAGACAGAAACAUCAGGCCUUACUGACACUGGUCCCAGCAUCCUUCCACACACAGGCCUUCCUUUCCCAACUCACCUCCUCUUCGUCCCCUAACCACUCAGGUUUUUCUGACAAGAUUCAACUCCAGAGAAUGUACUAGACUGUUUCUAUGGAAACUGUACUUGUAGAAAAACCCUAGAAGAGAAGCCAAGUUUGGGGGUGGGGUGGGGCACGCCGGAGCUUUUUCAGAAGACAAUGAAGAGCCAUGAUACAGGAAAGGGAAACUGGAGAGAUGUCACCGAAGAGGAGGAGCCAAGAUCCACAGGAGAGAAAACAGCAUGUCACUGAAGACUGAGUCCCCAGAGAUCCCAAAAGUUAGUGAGCAAUAUGACUCAGGUCCGGCGGCACCUACCAGGGGUGUCAAGACAUCAGAAGGGAAGGGAAAAAGAGGUGUUCUCCCAACUAGAGUCUAUUUCUGGCCCAGUGACAAAACCAACCAAACGAAGAUAACCCAAAGUGACAAGCCAAACACGAGGUGGUAACCUAGAGCAAAUGACACCCAAGUCCACAGGAGAGCAAGGGCGCUUAUGGAGCAUUGUGAGGCUCUGUGUUCCAGUCCCAGGACUGCAAAAGAUAUAAUAAAGCAAUGAGGCAACAAUAAUAACAGUGUACAUUGCUAAGGGAGUUGUCUGCUCAGCUGGCACUUGGAAUUGUCACUUGUUGCCAGCUCUGUGAGGCUCAGCCUCAUUCUGUAGCAGAAAAAAAAAAAAAAAAAUUCCUGAUUGCUUAGGAGCAAAGGCCAGAGGGACCUGAGUUACAGGUGUGGGAGUCUAGAAACUGAGAGGCGAAGGAUCAGUGGUUAUCUGUUGACCCAAAUGCCCACACCUCCAGCCACGCGUCCACUGCCAUGUUCACAUGGAAAAGACACUGACACUUGGGGCAGGGACUAUUGCUUCAGGCACACCUUGGUGCUGUUCACACAAAUUCGAUUCCAAGAAUGCCAGAGAGAUUCCACGAGGGGCCUGACAGGCUCAUGAUCCACUGUCCCUAUGCCUGGAAGGUAUUCAUUGAGAGCAAGCUGGAGCCUUGUAUUUUCACAUGGUUCUUGCCCUUCCACAUACAGGACGGAGCUUCUGGAGCCAAGAAAGCCUUUUUUUACUGGGCCACAACCACGUAGGGGAGGGAGAGAUGAGGACGUUAGUGUAUGUUUCCAUAACUAAGGGUAUAGGUUCUUUCCCACCUCAGGACCUUUGCACAUGCCAUUGUGCUUGAACACCGACCACCCCCAAGUCCUCCUGCUUCCUCAGGUCACUGUGCCUUCCCGAGGGCCCUCCCUAACCAAGCUGCCAAAAACCAUGCCUCCUGUUUGCACUUGGAUUUUAGCCCCUCUAUUCCCUUCAGGGCUCUUUAUACAGGGACCAUGGCUGCCAGCCACUUAGCAUAGUGUUUGGGAACACUGACUUUUAGUGAAGAAAUAUUCAAUUAUUGAAGUAAAUGUUCCACUUGCUCAUGAAAUAAUGAUGGUAGUAAAUGUAUUCCUCUACUUCUUCCUUGGCAAUAGAAGAAGAAUUCAGGGGUUAACCCCCACCCCUUUUCUCAAUCUGGAAAUACAGGGACAGUAAGAAACAUUUUACAAGAAAUAAGUUUACAAACCACGCUGUACAGAAUUAAAGUCCUUUUGUGUAAACAAAGAUUCCUCUGUUAAACCCACAGACCUGCUUCCUAGACAGGUGCUGGUGAAUGGGGUUGGCAAGCCUAUGCCCAGCUUCGUGUCUCCUUUGCCGUCAGGAGACUUCCCUUUGCUGGCCUGCCAAGCUCUUCUUCAUGGAAGUUUUCAUCUUUUGAUCUAUAAAUAUUCAUGAGUUCCUUUUUUUUAAAAAAAAUGAAAACUCAUUGAGCUUUCAGGAACACGUCUGCGCUGCAGCACUGGUCUGCUCUCGGGCUGCAGUUUUCUGCAGCAAGAUCACCUGUUUGCACUGGCUGGCGCUCCGUGAGCCUAAAGCCCAAUCAGGCACACAGGAGGAGAACACACCGCCCUGAGCUAACAAGACACAGGAGCCUGUACAGCUGCCCAUCACUCAGCACCAGGCAUUUCCUACCUAUGCCAGGCAUGGGAAAGAUUUGCUCUUAGCCUCCCUUGGGUUUCUACUCUCCUUACUCAUCUAAGGACGAGAUGUGCAAAAACAAUGGCACCCUCUGGGCAUCUGGAAAUCCGUCCCAAACCUUCUCACAUCCAUGUUUGUGUCAGUCUUCCAAGACGUUGGUGGAGAGGGUAACUCUAGAUCAAUGGGAAAGAUGAGGCGUGUAUGAGAGAGAAUGCUACAAGCCAGCCACUAUGCAGGCUAUGGAUGCAUAACAAAAGUGGGAGGGCUUUGAGAUCACGACAGGAUGGCAGGCAAGGCGACAGUGAUGCCAUCAGCACGAGUCCCCAUCCAUUCAAAACCUUUGAUCAUCAACCAUACCCCAAAUGUACUUCCAGGCUCAGCAAAGGAGACACAUGGAGGGAUACAAAGAUAAAUGAAAAAAGACCCCUGCCCAUCAAGCAAAGACAAGUACCCUGGCGACGCUGAAAACCUCCCCACAAAUGAGGACCCUACCACAAAUACAGAGUCAAGCAGAUGAAGCAAAGAGAGGACACCCAGCACUGUGCAAGAGCAGAGCUGGCUUUGAACUAGACACAGUAGAAGCAGAAAGCAUGUCCAAGCAGAGGAACACAUCCAGGCCCUGGGGUUGGGGGUUGGUGGUAACAGGUCAUGAACAAAUGCAAACUAGCAAGAAUGGCCAGAAUGCUGGGCCAUGGGCCCCAUGGGCCCUGCUAAGGAGUCUUUCCUGGGAGCUACCUAUAAGUCAGGCUCCUGAGGGAGCGUCUUUAACAGGAGGUCUCAAGGGGAGAUGGCUCAGUUGGUAAUGUGCUUCUGUGCAAGUGUGAAGACUCUCGCAGAUCCUCAGCACAGCAGUGUGUCUCUCUUAAUCCUACACUGGAGAGGCAGAGGCAGGAGGAUUCCAAUGGUCUGCUUGCCAGCUGGCCUAGCUAAUAAGGGGACUUCAAAUUCAGUGAGAGACGCUGGCCCAAAUAUUAAGGUAGAACACGUGGUAAUCUCAAUGAGAGUGGCCCCAUAGACUCAUAUACUUGAAAGCUUUGGUCUCCAUUUGGUGGAACUGUUUGGGAAGGAUUAGUAGGUGUGGCCUUGUUGAAGGAGGUGUGUGUGACUGGGGUUGGUCUUUGAGGUUUCAAAAGCUCAAGCCACUUGGCUGCCUCUGCUUUUAGACCAAAUGUAAGCUCUCAGCUACUGCUCUAGCACCAAGCCUGCCUGCCUGCCUGCCUGCCUGCCUGCCUGCCUGCCUGCCUGCCUGCCUGCCUGCCACCAAGGUCUAAAUUCCCAACCAUGGUGCUCAUGGACUUGGCUCUCUGCAGCUGUGGGCACUGACACAGAAUGCUUCUGGUAUAAUUUACCUUGGUCACGGUGGUGUUUGGUCACAGCAUUUUUUAAAAGGUAAUUGAGACAGUGAGAGAGACAGACACCCGAUACUCACCUCUGGCCUACACACGCGCACAUAAAUAGAUAGGUAGAUAGAUAGAUAGAUAGAUAGAUGGAUAGAUAGAUAGAUAGAUAGAUAGAUAGAUAGAUAGAUAGAUAGAUACAGUGAUUCAUAAUAUUAUCCAGGCACUGGGAAAUACAGACAGCGCUACCCUACAGGAUACAAAGGCUUGUAUGAAGAUAUCAUUAUCCAAAUAUGUAACAUGGAUUUAAACUAGAAAUGUCCCCAUUCUUUCAUUUUCAUCUACCCAGUGAAAUAAGUGGGUUUUUUUGGUUUUGGUUUUGGGUUUGGGAUUGGGUUUGGGAUUGGGUUUUUUUUUUGGGGGGGGGUGGAGUUUUGUUGUUGUUGUUGUUGUUGUUGUUUUUUGUUUGUUUUUUUGGUUUUUUGGGGUUUUUUUGCAGCUGUUAUAAAGUUGCUGCUGAUGGAAUGACGAUAGAAAUGAGAGCCUGUAGGCACUGAUCACAUACAUGUUUUCUUAAGUACUUAGGGCUAGACAAAUGCUGAUUUAUUUAAAUCUCACGGUGAGCCUAUAUUAUAAAGACUUUGAGUUUAUUCACUUCCUGUAGGAGACGGAGACACAGAGAUGUUAGGAAACCUACCCCAGGUCACACAGGAGUAAGUAGCACAGCUGGGCUUCGCAGUCAGUAAGUCUGGCCUGAGUCCCUGAUUUUGGACACUAAGUCCUCAGCCCCUUGCCUGCACUGUGACCAGCACUGUGGAAACUUGCCUACAGCUGUUUGUGGCUUUGAUUCUCACAGUAGUUCCUCAAGUCGGAUACUCCUUUCAUUUUUUUUAAAUCUCUGUUUUAUAGAUGAGGAAGCGGACAGAGCAGAUGGGGAUCCUGCCCAGAGCUGCACAACUAAUAAGUGGGUGGAAGGCUAAUUGGCCUGUGUGGCUGCAGAAUGUGUGCCCCUGCCUGCUGUCCCCACUCUUUUUUAUUCCUGGAAACCACGAGCGAGACGAAAGCAUGGAGGAAGCUUGGUAAAAGGGCUAUCGGGCAGGAUGAUCUUCCGAGUCUCACUUCUCCACCUGACGUGAAGCAGACGGAAACCAACCGUUCCCCCAAGCCAGCCCCGGGCAUGUGUCUCGUGGGCUGUGCAACCCCUGGUCACUGGCAGGUGAGGUUCUGCAGGCCUCGGAACUGGAGGGGAAGCAGGGCUGGCUCAGUCAGGCCCUGAUCUUCCGAUAGGUCCUGGCAAGCAUGAGGUACCAGUCAGCACUGCUGUAAAUCCUCCCGACAGCAGCUCUGUGGGCUCGGGCAGACUCUGGGCCAUGCUGGAGCCACACUGUCCAGAGCCUUCUGUUGCCACUUCUUGCGCCUAGGAGUGUUGGCACAGAGCCUGGCAGUGGGGUCAUUAAUCUAUGGGCAGGCUUCUAACAGAGGAAAACAUGGGAAACGGCUUUUAAAAGAAUCACCAGGGCUCAGCUGGCACAGACCAUCUAGAGCUGCGAUUCGGAAGCAAGAAAAGCCCACAUAUGCUAUGUGCUUCGGAUGAAGAGCUCUGAAGGAACCCAGACGAGAGGCUCUGUAUCCUUGUGGCCUAAGGUAUGGACAAUGAAGCCAAGCUUCCUAGGUUCAAAUCCCAGCUUGGCCUCUUGAUUGGAAGACUUGGGGCUUGUUCCGCCAGUCUCUUCAGGCUGUUUUCUCAUUUGCAUAUGAUAAUACAGACAGCAGCUACAUCAUCAAGUUGGUAUAGGGAACGGAGGGGUCAAUAUACAGAUAGAUUGCCCAGGAUCUCAGCAGUGCCCUGAAUGUGCUUAUUAAAUAAUAUAUGUAGGCUCAGUGGGCACAGGUACCAUCUCUUCUCACUGAAGGAUAUUAUUCCAAAAUAUUAUUCCAGUUAAUAAAUCUAGAAAUUGAUUGUGAGAUGUUUAUUAUUUCUUGUGGACAUUAUGUUCAUGUGUGUGUUCAUGUGUACAUAUGUGGGUUGACAUGUAGAGAUGCUCAUGUGCAUGUGUGUAUAUGUGUUCAUGUACACAGAUGUGGGUAGAUGUAUAAAGACAUUCAUGUACAUGUGUGUAUAUGUGUUCCUGUGUGCGUUCAUGUGUAGUACAUAUGUCGGUAGGCAUGAAGGUGCAUGCAUAGGAUGUCAGAGGCUGAUAUUGGAUAUAUCCAUCAAUCACUCUCCACCUUAUUUUAAUUUUUAGAUUUAUUCAUUUUAUUUCAUGGGUAUGAAUGUUUUGCCUGUGUGUAUGUGCAGUACCAUAUGCCUGGUAUCCACAGAGGUUAGAGACAGCUGUCAGGUCCCCAGGAACUGGAGUUACAGGUCGUUGUGAGCCACACCAAGGGUGCUGGGAAUCAAACCCAGUUCCUCUGUAGGGGCAGAGUUCUCUAAACCACUGAGUCAUCUCUCCAGCUCCCGUCCUACUUUGUGAGACAGGGUCUCUCACCGAACAAGAGCUUGCCAGUUCAGCCAAGUUCAGGAAUCUUCCUCCCACACCCUCUCGGGGCUGGGAUCGCAAGCAUACGCCUAGCUUCGCAUGGCUGUUGAGAUUAAAUCCAGGUCCUUAGGCAUGCGUGGCGAGCACUUUACCAACAGAAGCACGUCCCUACUUUCAAGACGCUAUUUCCUUAAGAGAAUUUGGGUUUGAAAGUCGAUGACUUGGGGUCUCAGGAGAAUGGAAAAGCCCGUCAGGCACGUGGUAGGGCAACUAUCACAUGGUAGGGCAGCUAUCCUCAGCAAUCAGUCACGUGAUAGGGCAGUUAGCCUUGGCAAUCAGUCACGUGGUAGGGCAGUUAGCCUUGGUAAUCAGUCACGUGGUAGGGCAGUUAGCCUCGGCAAUCAGUCACGUGGUAGAGCAGCUAUCCUCCGCUGGUGGGGACGGUUAAUGCCGUAAGAGCCAAGAUAGCUAGAACUCUGGCAUGGUCCAACACAUCAGCUUUCUGGGUUUCACUUUAGAAGGCCUCUCGAGAGCAUCAGCCUGGUUAGAACAGCUGCUACCCUGACCUGGCAGGGACAACUGAGUGUGCUCGGACCGUCCACAGUCACCCAGUCCUGACCGGACCUGGAGGCCUCAGCACAGUUUCCUCUUUCAGAAAUGGGGGACCCAAGUCCUUCCCCCUUCUCGCAUACUUUCCAUACUCAAAAGGGACUCCGGGCAAGAGCACAAAGCCAGAAGAUACAGCUCAAAGAGAUCCAAACUCCACCCUAAUUGCACGGUCCUGGCUCAAGCCAGCUUCUCCGUUUCUGAGACUGUUACACUGGGGUGACAGAAUAUGCUCCUUCCAUCAUGGGAGAGGCUGGAGACCCAGAUUCAUCCCGCUCCGAGUUUGUCACCUUCAUCCCAUGGCCAAGACAGCUCCGAUGGCUGACGCAAGCCAACCAAAAGGGAAUGCUUGGCCAGGAAGAGACUGUGGAUGGGCUAAGAGGGUCCUUUCAUCCACAUUCCACUAGCCAUAAGUUAGCCAUGUGGUCAUACACUGGGCAUAAGUCAGGUCACGUGACUAUAAUGCCAGCAGUAAGGAGUCUGGACAGGGGGAGGAUGAGACAGUGACUUUGCGCCACACUAUUUGAUGGUCCUGGACUGGAGCCUCCAGAUAAGUCAGCAACUACCUCUGUCCAAGAAAAUAUCAAAGGGAGUGAGUCUCAGCCCUUCAUGUCCAGUAUCUGGUACGCAGAAAGGGUGGCGGGGAUGCUUUUUGGAAUACACUUUGAACUGGAUGCAGCCCUCUGCAGUGCCUGCCUCUUACAGUACUUGCCAACAAAUGAGGCCCACGGUGUGUGUUUGCUGACCUGGAGAAAGGACGCAAUUGUAACCUGUAGGUCAGUAGGCCUGACCACUGAUGUGGGAGGCUGGAGCUGGGCUGACUGGAGGAUCAGGCCUGGGAUUCUAGAUCUUCUCCCCAGCUUGGCAGCCAGGAACCAAGGAGAAGGGAGAGUCAGAGCCACCUUCCCAUCCCCACCGGCUCUCGGCUCUCACGUCAGAGGCAGCCGCUCAGCUCGCCUGUGUGGGAAGCAAGCAGGAGCUGUUUCCAUUUUCUUUCAUAUUCAUCACGAACUGUGGCCCACAGACAGGAGAAGCCACAGAAACAAUGUCCAUCCCCCCUCCAAUGAUCCUGGAAAACCGAGGCUAAGAGGGGGCUGGGAGCAGAGGGAGCACUUUUGACAUCUGUGGGCAGAGCUGGAGGAGUGGGGGGAGCAACUCUGACAUCUGUGAGCAGAGCUGGAGGAGUGGGGGGAGCACCUCUGACAUCUGUGGGCAGAGCUGGAGGGGUAGAGGGAGCACCUCUGACAUCUGUGAGCAGAGCUGGAGGAGCAAAGGGAGCAUCUAUGACAUCUGUGAGCAGAGCUGGAGGGGUAGAGGGAGCACCUCUGACAUCUGUGGGCAGAGCUGGAGGGGUGGAGGGAGCACCUCUGACAUCUGUGAGCAGAGCUGGAGGAGCAAAGGGAGCACCUAUGACAUCUGUGAGCAGAGCUGGAGGGGUGGAGGGAGCACCUCUGACAUCUGUGAGCAGAGCUAGAGGAGUGGGAGGAGCACCUCUGACAUCUGUGGGCAGAGCUGGAGGGGUGGAGGGAGCACCUAUGACAUCUGUGGGCAGAGUUGGAGGAGCAGAGGGAGCACCUACGACAUCUGUGAGCAGAGCUGGAGGGGUGGAGGGAGCACCUCUGACAUCUGUGGGCAGAGCUGGAGGAGUGAGCACCUCUGACAUCUGUGAGCAGACACAGCCUCCAUGAAAAGAGACUAGCAGUGAGGGAAGAGCAAAGGCCAAGACCUUGCUAUCCAUUCACUGUGUGACCUUGGGUCAGUGACACACUCUGCCUGCCACCAACUGCCCCCUCACCCCAUAUGUCAAAAGGAGAUAAUAAAAGCUGUUCUGAAGUUAGAA